CUAGAAACGAUUCUGUUGACCGUUUUAUGUGUGGAUUAAUUGGUGUAGUAGAGGACCUUGUGCGUUUCAGCGCCUCCAUCGAGCAGAGCAGCCGUCGCUAUUAACCCCGAAAGUGUGCUGGGAACCCCUGCAGAGAAGGCUCUAUUUGAAUGGAAAUAGGAGGGUUGAUCGGAUCUGCAUGAGAACCCCUACCUCUGCUGGAUGUCUCUCCAGUGUGUGAUGGGCUGCGCUGUCUCUCUGCCUGCAGUAGGGAGAGGGAUACUGCUGUGAGAAGUACCAGACUAAUCACAUGAAAAGUGGGUAAAAGAUAAUCGCUGAAUACAAGGUGUAGAUGGAAGCCCUUAUCCACUGAUGGAAAUGUAUGGGGGGGGGUUAUCUGAUCCUAGAUCUGUGGUAAGG
Molecule: long non-coding RNA, 399 nt
Filed under: Salmo salar (Atlantic salmon)
Lineage: Eukaryota; Metazoa; Chordata; Actinopteri; Salmoniformes; Salmonidae
Description: lncRNA (ENSSSAG00000104874.1)
Source: RNAcentral